RNAcentral lists this ribosomal RNA (467 nucleotides) under uncultured bacterium. RNAcentral describes it as "partial 16S ribosomal RNA". It matches the Rfam family "Bacterial small subunit ribosomal RNA", at positions 28 to 507 of the family's 1533-position model. The record is from RNAcentral.
GAUGAACGCUGGCGGCGUGCUUAACACAUGCCAGUCGAACGGUGAAGGCGGAGCUUGCUCUGCUGGAUCAGUGGCGAACGGGUGAAUAACACGUGAGCAAUCUGCCCCUGACUCUGGAUAAGCGCUGGAAACGGCGUCUAAUACUGGAUACGAGCUGCGAAGGCAUCUUCAGCAGCUGGAAAGAAUUUCGGUCAGGGAUGAGCUCGCGGCCUAUCAGCUUGUUGGUGAGGUAAUGGCUCACCAAGGCGUCGACGGGUAGCCGGCCUGAGAGGGUGACCGGCCACACUGGGACUGAGACACGGCCCAGACUCCUACGGGAGGCAGCAGUGGGGAAUAUUGCACAAUGGGCGAAAGCCUGAUGCAGCAACGCCGCGUGAGGGACGACGGCCUUCGGGUUGUAAACCUCUUUUAGCAGGGAAGAAGCGAAAGUGACGGUACCUGCAGAAAAAGCGCCGGCUAACUACGUG